RNAcentral lists this ribosomal RNA (471 nucleotides) under uncultured bacterium. Its description in RNAcentral is "bacterial SSU rRNA". It matches the Rfam family "Bacterial small subunit ribosomal RNA", at positions 29 to 507 of the family's 1533-position model. The record is from RNAcentral.
AAUGAACGUUGGCGGCGUGGAUUAGGCAUGCAAGUCGAGCGAGAACCCAGCAAUGGGGGACAGCGGCGAAAGGGACAGUAAUGUGUAGAUUAUCUGCCCUCGGGUCCGGGAUAGCUGCGGGAAACUGCAGGUAAUACCGGAUAACAUCUCCGGAUCAAAGGUGUGAUUCCGCCCGAGGAUGAGUCUGCAUCCUAUUAGCUUGUUGGUGGGGUAAUGGCCUACCAAGGCUUUGAUGGGUAGCGGGUGUGAGGGCACGACCCGCGUCAUUGGGACUGAGACACUGCCCAGACACCUACGGGUGGCUGCAGUCGAGAAUCUUCGGCAAUGGGCGCAAGCCUGACCGAGCGACGCCGCGUGUGGGAUGAAGGCCUUCGGUUGUAACCACUGUCAGAGGGGAGUGAAAUAGCGAGGUGGGUUCGUUCCCACCUUGUUUGUACAUAGCCUCAGAGGAAGGACGGGCGUAAGUUCGUG